GGGGAUGUAGCUUAGAUGGUAGAGUGUUUGCUUAGCUUGCGAGAGGUACGAGGAUCAAUACCUUGUGUUUCCA
RNAcentral lists this transfer RNA (73 nucleotides) under Ipomoea nil (Japanese morning glory). It matches the Rfam family "tRNA". From Rfam's summary of the family: Transfer RNA (tRNA) molecules are approximately 80 nucleotides in length. Their secondary structure includes four short double-helical elements and three loops (D, anti-codon, and T loops). Further hydrogen bonds mediate the characteristic L-shaped molecular structure. tRNAs have two regions of fundamental functional importance: the anti-codon, which is responsible for specific mRNA codon recognition, and the 3' end, to which the tRNAs corresponding amino acid is attached (by aminoacyl-tRNA synthetases). tRNAs cope with the degeneracy of the genetic code in two manners: having more than one tRNA (with a specific anti-codon) for a particular amino acid; and 'wobble' base-pairing, i.e. permitting non-standard base-pairing at the 3rd anti-codon position. Lineage: Eukaryota; Viridiplantae; Streptophyta; Magnoliopsida; Solanales; Convolvulaceae. The record is from Rfam by way of RNAcentral.